This is a small nuclear RNA of Myotis daubentonii (Daubenton's bat), 164 nucleotides long. RefSeq annotates it as U1 spliceosomal RNA. NCBI's taxonomy places the organism in Eukaryota, Metazoa, Chordata, Mammalia, Chiroptera, Vespertilionidae. The record is from RefSeq and is a predicted model, not a curated record.
AUGCUUACUUGGCAGGGGCGAUACCAUGAUCACGAAGGUGGUUUCCCCAGGGUGAGGCUUACCCAUUGCACUCUGGGUAUGCGGACCCCUGUUAUUUCCCCAAAUGUGGGAAACUCAGCUGCAUAAUUUGUGGUAUUGGGGGACUGCGUUUGCGCUCUCCCCUG